RNAcentral lists this ribosomal RNA (450 nucleotides) under uncultured bacterium. Its description in RNAcentral is "partial 16S ribosomal RNA". It matches the Rfam family "Bacterial small subunit ribosomal RNA", at positions 338 to 795 of the family's 1533-position model. The record is from RNAcentral.
CCUACGGGUGGCUGCAGUAAGGAAUAUUGGUCAAUGGACGCAAGUCUGAACCAGCCAUGCCGCGUGCAGGAUGACGGCCCUAUGGGUUGUAAACUGCUUUUGUACGGGAAAAAACCCUCGCUCGUGAGCGGGGCUGAUGGUACCGUAAGAAUAAGGAUCGGCUAACUCCGUGCCAGCAGCCGCGGUAAUACGGAGGAUCCAAGCGUUAUCCGGAUUUAUUGGGUUGAAAGGGUGAGCAGGCGGAAAUGGUGAAAUCCUGCAGCUUAACUGCAGAACUGCCAUUGAUACUGUUUUUCUUGAGUAUAGUUGAAGUGGGCGGAAUGUGUCAUGUAGCGGUGAAAUGCUUAGAUAUGACACAGAACACCAAUUGCGAAGGCAGCUCGCUAAGCUAUAACUGACGCUCAUGCACGAAAGCGUGGGGAUCAAACAGGAUUAGAUACCCCUGUAGUC